CUUGGGGAAGAAUGUCCUUAACAGGAAAUGGUUAAGGAGGAGUCGGUACCUGAGGAGGAAGCCCUGGCUAACUACGUGCCAGCAGCCGCGGUAACACGUAGAGGGCAAGCGUUGUCCGGAAUUACUGGGCGUAAAGGGUACGCAGGUGGGAGGAAAAGUCAAGUGUGAAAGGUAUCGGCUUAACCGAUACACAGCAAUUGAAACUAUCCUUCUUGAGGGCAGGAGAGGAGAGCGGAAUUCCUGGUGUAGCGGUGGAAUGCGUAGAUAUCAGGAAGAACACCGGUGGCGAAGGCGGCUCUCUGGCCUGCAACUGACGCUGAGGUACGAAAGCUGGGGGAGCAAACGGGAUUAGAUACCCCGGUAGUCCCAGCUGUAAACGAUGGACACUAGGUGUUGGUGGUUCGAAUCCAUCAGUGCCGGAGUUAACGCGAUAAGUGACCCGCUGGGGAG
This 450-nucleotide ribosomal RNA is filed under the name uncultured Bacillota bacterium. Its description in RNAcentral is "bacterial SSU rRNA". It matches the Rfam family "Bacterial small subunit ribosomal RNA", at positions 438 to 880 of the family's 1533-position model. The record is from RNAcentral. Lineage: Bacteria; Bacillati; Bacillota.